This 740-nucleotide ribosomal RNA is filed under the name Staphylococcus aureus. RNAcentral's name for it is "partial 23S ribosomal RNA". It matches the Rfam family "Bacterial large subunit ribosomal RNA", at positions 388 to 1130 of the family's 2925-position model. The record is from RNAcentral. Lineage: Bacteria; Bacillati; Bacillota; Bacilli; Caryophanales; Staphylococcaceae.
UUGUCUCUCUUGAGUGGAUCCUGAGUACGACGGAGCACGUGAAAUUCCGUCGGAAUCUGGGAGGACCAUCUCCUAAGGCUAAAUACUCUCUAGUGACCGAUAGUGAACCAGUACCGUGAGGGAAAGGUGAAAAGCACCCCGGAAGGGGAGUGAAAUAGAACCUGAAACCGUGUGCUUACAAGUAGUCAGAGCCCGUUAAUGGGUGAUGGCGUGCCUUUUGUAGAAUGAACCGGCGAGUUACGAUUUGAUGCAAGGUUAAGCAGUAAAUGUGGAGCCGUAGCGAAAGCGAGUCUGAAUAGGGCGUUUAGUAUUUGGUCGUAGACCCGAAACCAGGUGAUCUACCCUUGGUCAGGUUGAAGUUCAGGUAACACUGAAUGGAGGACCGAACCGACUUACGUUGAAAAGUGAGCGGAUGAACUGAGGGUAGCGGAGAAAUUCCAAUCGAACCUGGAGAUAGCUGGUUCUCUCCGAAAUAGCUUUAGGGCUAGCCUCAAGUGAUGAUUAUUGGAGGUAGAGCACUGUUUGGACGAGGGGCCCCUCUCGGGUUACCGAAUUCAGACAAACUCCGAAUGCCAAUUAAUUUAACUUGGGAGUCAGAACAUGGGUGAUAAGGUCCGUGUUCGAAAGGGAAACAGCCCAGACCACCAGCUAAGGUCCCAAAAUAUAUGUUAAGUGGAAAAGGAUGUGGCGUUGCCCAGACAACUAGGAUGUUGGCUUAGAAGCAGCCAUCAUUUAAAGAG